RNAcentral lists this ribosomal RNA (497 nucleotides) under uncultured bacterium. Its description in RNAcentral is "partial 16S ribosomal RNA". It matches the Rfam family "Bacterial small subunit ribosomal RNA", at positions 28 to 507 of the family's 1533-position model. The record is from RNAcentral.
GAUGAACGCUGGCGGCGUGCCUAAUACAUGCAAGUCGAGCGAACGGACGAGAAGCUUGCUUCUCUGAUGUUAGCGGCGGACGGGUGAGUAACACGUGGAUAGCCUACCUAUAAGACUGGGAUAACUUCGGGAAACCGGAGCUAAUACCGGAUAAUAUUUUGAACCGCAUGGUUCAAAAGUGAAAGACGGUCUUGCUGUCACUUAUAGAUGGAUCCGCGCUGCAUUAGCUAGUUGGUAAGGUAACGGCUUACCAAGGCAACGAUGCAUAGCCGACCUGAGAGGAUGAUCGGCCACACUGUAACUGAGACACGGUCCAGACUCCUACGGGAGGCAGCAGUAGGGAAUCUUCCGCAAUGGGCGAAAGCCUGACGGAGCAACGCCGCGUGAGUGAUGAAGGUCUUCGGAUCGUAAAACUCUGUUAUUAGGGAAGAACAUAUGUGUAAGUAACUGUGCACAUCUUGACGGUACCUAAUCAGAAAGCCACGGCUAACUACGUG